Molecule: long non-coding RNA, 16293 nt
Filed under: Gossypium barbadense (sea-island cotton)
Lineage: Eukaryota; Viridiplantae; Streptophyta; Magnoliopsida; Malvales; Malvaceae
Description: long non-coding RNA (GBAR_LNC012156)
Rfam family: MIR7504 microRNA precursor family (bases 9995-10116)
Source: RNAcentral
GAUGGAGACGGUGGGCUGGAGGCCGAAGGUGAUAGUGCUGGAGACUUAGCUUUGGUCUUGCUAGGGGCCGGAGCUGGAACCGUGGCAGGAGGAGAAGCCAAAGGAGCUGGUGGUGGGGUAGCUGGAGGAGGAGUAGCAGGAGGGGGAGAAGCAGGUGGUGGGGUAGCCGGAGGUGGAGAAGCCGGUGGGGGAGUUGCGGGAGGUGGAGUAGCCGGGGGAGGAGAAGCUGGUGGUGGGGAGCUAACGGGCGGGGGAGUCGCUGGAGGAGGAGUGGAAACUGGUGGUGGUGAUGAAGUAGGAGGAGGAGAGGAAGCUGGUGGCGGAGAAGUAGUUGUGGGUGUUGGAGGUGGUUGAGUAGUAGGUGGAGGUGUGGAAGCGGGUGGAGUCGGCGGCGCCGGCGUGGAUGUCGGAGGAUUACUAGGAGUAGGAGGAGCUUGGCCUAAAACGCCAGCUACAGCAAUGCAAAACAAAGCUGAUAAGAACAAAAACUUAUUAUUAAGCAUCAUAUUGGAAACAAUGGUGACCCUUUAAUCCUGCACACCCUCUCCGCUUAAACUACGCCCAGCCGUGCAAGCAAAUGAGGGAGAAGAAGAGGCAAGUAUGAGAAAUGAAAAGAUGGUGAUAUUUAUAUAUAGGAUAUGGAAAUUUCCAUAUCAUAUUUCAAUUUAAAAUCCCCAAAACAAAUACCAGCAUUUUUAUUUUAUUACUAAUGGGAAAAUUGCAUUACUAAUCAUAUACAAUAUUCUAUAUUAAUUUAGUGUAAUUUAAUUCUUUCAUUUUUUUAUAAUGUUAUUAAUAGGUCCAAAAUCAAUAUCUCCGAUCGUUAGUUGCUGUCAUUAAAGUGAUGAUACGAAAUUAUUUUUUUUACUAUUAUUCCAUCAUACAAUCAGAGAUAUAGAAAUCAAUCAAUUUUGUUAAACAAAUAAUAAAUUUCAAUCUGAGUCAAAUGCUUAAAGUUGUUAAAAAAAAUUCACGUCAUCACUUUAACAACAUCAACUAAUAGCGUUAUCAAUUUGUACUUUGUAGCUACCAAUAACAUUAUAAAAAUAAAGGGUCAAAUUAUAUAGAAGUAAAGGAUUAAAUCUCUAAUUUCAAUUUAGUAAAGGGACUAAAAUGGAAUUAAACCUAUUAGUGGGGGUCGGAGUUUUUUCCUCGUUUGGUGAGGUAAAAAAAAAAAAAAACCCUAGUGGGGCAUAGUUAUAAUGUCACUUUGAUGAUUAUAAAUGAUGCGUUAGUUAGUCAUACUUUAGGUAAAAAACUGUGAGGUGGGAUUAGUGUAGAUUGAAAAUUUUUAGUGAAGGGGUUAAUUUAUACCUUCAAAAUUUUGCAAUAUUUGGUAGUUCCAUGAAAUAUUCCCCGCUAUUUAUCAACUUUUCAAUCACUCAAAUAGGUUUUAAUUUAGUUUUGUUGUGAAAUUUCUAAUUCAAGCAUACAAUGAGUAGAUUUUAUUAUGGGUCGGGUCGGGUUAUUAUAAAAUUUUAGGUGUAACGUCCCGAAUUUUUGGGCCUAGAAGUUAAAAGAUUUAAGCAUAGGGGCAGUAAGGAGGCCACACAUAAGUGAUUAGUUGUGCACUAUAGUGAUAAGAAUGGGCUUAUUAGUCUAGUGGUUAAAUGGAGUGUUAAUUAAGUUCAAGGUUUUUGGUUUGAGUCACUAUGUGUACAUUUUGGGAGUCUUUUUAUUUUGUUUUUUUUUAGUUAGUGAUAAUAAUUAAUUAUUUUAUUUUAUUUUUAUUAUUUUUCUUUUCUUUUCCACGUUAGUUCUCUCUACUUCUUGGUUUUUUUUUCUUUUUGUUCUUUUUCCUUGGACUUUCAAUUUGUGCAUUCUCUAUGUUUUUGAAUCGUUUGCUUACAGAUUUCGAAUUGUCGCACCUCUAUCGUCUUCUUCGUCGUUCAAUCAGGUGAGGGAUUCAAACUUUAACUACAUUGUUUAAUUUUGCAAAGUUUACGUGCGGCUUUUCUUGAAUAUGUGAUAACCCGAAGGUUUUUGGGUUUUGAUCGUUGGAAGUGAGGAAAAUACGUUAUAUUGUGAUAUGUUCUUGAUGUGGUUAAGGUUAGGGACAGUUUGGGUGGCUAAAACGGUGUUUUCGGGGCUAAUUUGGGGUGGUUUCAUGACCUCUCCGGCAGCUACACGGGCGUGUGCCGUGGUAGACAGUCAUAUGGAUUUGGGAACUAGGGUUUCCAGGCCAAAUUGGAUGCCACACGGCCGUGUGGCCGAUUUGGGGAUUUUGUCGAAAUUCACACGGCUGUGUCCCCUAGGCACAUGGGCAUGUGGGUUUGGAAUUAGGGUUUCAGAGAUUUGAAGUCACACAGCCUGGCCAUACGGCUGUGUGGCUGAUUUUGGGAUUUAGGGAUCCCACACGAGUGUGUGUUUCGUAACACACAACCAUGUCUAGUUGGCACACGGGCAUGUGAGACCCUCACAUAGCCGUGUCUGCCCUGCACCUUAUUUUAGCGAAAUUGGACAGUGAGUUACACAGCCUGUUCACACAGUCGUGUCUCUGCUUCGCACGGGCGUGUGCCUAUGUCACAUGGCCGUGUGCUAUCCUUCACAAGGGCGUUUGAAGCCUCACACGAUCUGGAUUGCUCUACACGGCUGAAGCAUACGGGUGUGUAGCCCUAUCUCGCCAAAUAAUGAUUUUAGGUCAAAUUUAAGUGCAAUCGUGACUCUAUGUAUUCCAACCCUCGACUGAGCUCUAGUGAGGGUAUUUACGACGCUGAUCUGAGUUUGGAUAAUGUGUUAAUUGUGAUUGGUUAUGUGACAUGUUUGAUUCUGAACCCGGGUUAGCUGGGUGAGUGUGUAUGCAACUAGUUCUGUCUGACUGUUUGAAUACGUGUCAUUGAUAUGCGAGCUUAUUUUGCAAUUGCUACUGAAUUCAAGUUACGAGUAUACUUAAGACUAAUUUUGUAACUAACUGAUUGGAUGUGAGCGUCUACUUCUGAAUAAUUGUUUGAGACUAGUAUUCUGAUUGUGUACAUCUGACUGCAUACAUACAUACAUAUGCAUAAACUAUUUUGGGCGGGAUUUUUGAAGAGAAGGUGUUGUAGGCCAAUUUUGGGCCCGUUUACACUUUAGGCCGAACAUACAUCAAACCCAUUUACAAUUAAACCCCAGCAUAACCCACAACCCAAACCCAACAAAUAAACCCAAAACCAAACCCAAAUUUAACCCAAUUCAAAUCCCAUAGACCCAAACCCACAUGUAAGCCCAAGUUGUUAGACCCAACUAGCUUGAUUUAGGGUUUCAAAAAAACUGAAACCCUAACCUACCCCCAGCGCCGCCAACGUCACAUCGCCCAUGCCAGUCCACUUGCACUACCUUUGCUCCACUGUUCAACCACCACCUGCAAAACAAAAGAGCACGCAACAGCAGCGCAAAAAUAGGAAAUAGACAGUGUAUGAACAACAAAAUCGGCUAUAAAGCCGAAUGGAAACCAAUGUAAUAGAAAAUAUUUUCGGUUAUUUUCUUCAUCAAUACAAAAAAAUAGAUUUAAACAUAUACAAGCAAUAAUUCGGGGAAAAUCAAAACACUAGAAUAACACCAAUUGGGCAACCAAAACAUCAAUAUCAAAAGCCUAAGGUGAUUUAAAUCUUUUUAUUUUUAUUUAUUUUUGAAUCAUACAUACCUAUGUAUUUUCAUAAAUAGUAUAAUAAAAAGGAAAAUAAAAGAAUAAAAAAAAGAUAGGAAAUUUUUACCUUUUCCGGCCACCGUGCGACGGUGGCACACGGCGGUCCGGCAACCAGACGUGGACGGCGACCGGCCUUGUGGCCGGAAUUCGCCUCUCCUUCUCCCCUCUCUCUUUUUUUUCUUUGCUAUGCAGAAAAUGAAUUUUUUUUGAAGAUUUUGGCCUUUUUAUAGCUUCCUAAAACGACGUCGUUUUGGGGGUUGCCCUUUAACCUCAAAACGACGUCGUUUUGCCCUGGAUCAGGUCGACCCGACCCUACCCACUCAGGAUCUGAGUGUUUUUGCUCUUAGGGGCUAAUUGCGCACGCGGUCCUUCCGCUUUUUCUAUGUUUUUCAAUCAGGUUUUUUAUGUAUUUUAAUUUGGCCCUAUAAUUAGUUGCGCUUUCCAAUUUGGUCCUCAAUGCUAUUGCGCAUUUUGGGUGGAGAGGCUUAUUUCGUUUUAAGUCCCUCCACUAUUUGUGCGCGUUGAAAUAGGUCCCCUUCCCUUCUUUUUAUUUCAGUUUUUGCCCCAAGCCUUUUAUUUUUAAUUCGAUUCGAUCCUUUUUUUAAUUACUUUAUUAUUAAAAUUAAUUAUUUUAGUAUUAUUGUUAUUAGCACUAUUCAUGUACAUAUAUAUUAUCAUUAUUGUUACUAUUACUAUUAUUAAUCUUCAUAUUAUUACUAUUAUUUCUUUAUUUUUAUAUUAUAUUAUAUUAUAUUAUUAGUUUUUACUAUUAUUAGUAUUAGUUUUAGCUUCAAUUAAUAUUUUUAACAUGCAUAUUUAUAUACUUUUAUGUAACAUUAUUAAUAAUUAUUUUUUAAAAUAUUAUUAUUAUUUUUUAAUACAUGCAUAUAUAUUAUGUGUAUAUUCUUUUAAUAGACAUUAUGUAUAUAUAAUUUUAUAUAUUAUUUUUAACUUUACAUUAUGUAUAUAUUGUUAAUAUCAUAUUAUUCAUAUAUUCUAUUAUAUUAUAUAACUAUAUUAUGUAUGUAUUUUUAACACUAUAUUACGUACAUACUUUCAAUAUCAUUAUUAUUAUGUAUAUAUAUUUUUAAUAUAUAUAUGUGUAUAUUUAUGUAGUAUUAUUAAUAGUUGUUUUUAAUAUUAUGAUUAUUUCUAGUAUAUAUAUAUUAUGUAUAUACUUCUAAUACUAUAUAUUGUAUAUUUCUAAUACCAUUAUUAUUUAUAUGUGUAUAUGUGUAUGUAUUUAUGUAUCGUAUUAUAGUUGUUGUUUUUUUUGUAUCAUUAUUGUUGCUAAUAUAUAUAUAUCAUGUAUAUAUGAUUUUUUUUAUAUAUAUUAUGUAUAUAUCUUUAAUAUUAUAUUAUUUAUAUAUUUAUGCUUACAUAUUAUCUUACGUAUAUAUUUUUAAUAACUAUAUUAUGUAUAUACUAUUACUAUAUAUCUAUUUAUGUUGCAUUAUCAAUGGUUGUUUUUACUAUUAUUAUUAUUCUUAAUAUAUAUAUUAUGUAUACAUUUUUAAAUACUAUAUUAUAUACAUAUAUUUUUAAUACCAUAUAUGUACAUAUCAUUAUUAUAUCUAUUUUUACCCCUAUUACAUUUGUUAUUAAUAUUAGUAUAUAUUUUAUUAUACGUGUAUAUAUAUACUUUUUAAUAUAGUAUUAUUUUUAUAUAUCAUUAUAUUUAUUAUUAUACUUAUUAUUUUCGCUAUUGUUACUUAUUAUUUUAUUUUAAUAUUAUUGUGUAUUAUUUGGUAUACAUAUAUCUUUUUGUACAUAUUGUUAUUUUUUAUUAUACGUAUAUUAGUUUAUUAUGGUAUUAAUACAUUUUUACCUUUUUCUUUUAUUGUAAAUAUUAUUUAUUAUUACUCUAAUAUCCUAAUAUUAUAUUAUAAUACUUUUUAUUAAUCAUCUCAUUAUUUUGCAUCGUUUAUUUACUUAUGAAUUUUUGUUAACAUCAUCAGUUUUUUUUUAUCAUUAUUUUAGAAACAUUUUUAUUUUAAUAAAUAAUGCAACGUACCGAUUUUAACAUUAAGUUUGUGAUUUCAUCGCUAUGUUGGGUGAAUCACGUUGGCUCGUGUUAAAAACGGGACAUCCUUCAAAAAAACCAAAAACUUGAAAUUUCUCGUGUCUUGGUCGGAUCAUGAUUAAAUAUUAAAUUAAACUUGUAUUUUUGAAAAUUAAGACAACGCGUAAUUAACAAGAUACUAAUUUUGGGCGUCGUGAGGGUGCUAAUACCUUCCUCGCGUGUAACCGACUCCCGAACUCUAUUUUCCUCUGGAUUUUCACGUAGACCCAAAUUCGGCCUUCAUUUUUGUUCAAGAAUAAAUUUUCUUUUCUAAAAAGAAGAUUUAUUAGGUGUCUGAUCACACCUAGAAAAAAGAUCGGUGGCGACUCCUUUUCUUUUUAAAACCGAAAUUCCAUUUUCAAAUAAUCGCCUCAACUAGCGACCGGAAAGUGAAAUUUUUACGUUGCUACAGAAGGAAGAUUGACUGAACUGAACUGAUAGCUAAUAUGUUGCCCCUAAUACCCAGAGGGUCAUGGGCGGUCCCAAUACCCUGAGGAUCGUGGUUAAUUUGACUGUACUGCGGACUAUCGCACUGUACUGUACAGAACAUACAUCAGCACCGCUGCUAUCAUUGACUAAACUGGCAAUUUUACUGCAACCUAACGAUAUAGCGGUCUACCGCAUUGCAUUGUACCGCAUGUACGUUAGCUACGCUACGUACUAUUAUCUGAUCUGGCAGUUCAUACUGCAUGUCUGUACCGCGGUUCACCGCAUUGCACAGUACAACCUAUACGCUGGCUUUCCUACGUAAUUUACGUGACUAGCAGUUUAUCUGCAUACUGUUAGCCCAAAUUCCCAGAGGGUCGAUGGCAAUCCCAAUACCCUGAGGGUCAUGGACAAUGCUGAUGAUCAUCGUUGUCGGGUAACCCGGGAUGACAUCAUAUGGGGUGUAGGGUUGGAUGGGCUUUGCGAGGUCCUGUAUGGAGUGUUUGGUGGGACAAGCUUAAAGCUUUUAUGAGAAGUGAUGGGGGACGGAGAGGUGUGUUGGCUGGAUAGGUGGAUAUUUUUAGAACUCAUUUGUACUCAUAUGUAUCUGAUUGAUCUGUUUAACUGAAUUGGAACUUGUGAAUGGUUGAGAAUUAUUGCUACUGUGACUGAAUGUGAUACUGUUCGAUUGAGAGGCACUUGUGCCUAUGUGAAUUUUGUAGAUUCUGAUUGCGACUGUCUGACUGGAUUCUUACUGUGACUGAUUAAGAUUUGUUGCUACUCUGUCUGAGUGGUACUUGUGGCUGAGUGUAUCUAACUGAUUGAGUUAAAACUAGUGGCAGAAUAGCACUAUGUUUGUGUAGCUGAGUGUAAUUUUUAAUAUGCAUUAACAAAUAUCUGUCUGUCGGUACGUCCGUUUCGAACGUACCCUUUGGUUCUGAAUAGCUCUGUAAGUAUGUUUUAUUUCUGAACUGCUUUUAGUUCCCUGUUUCUGUCUCUGUAGUUUAACUGGUUUGAUCUCAAACUGAGCUCGAGUAGCUCACCCCCUCUUUCGUUUCCCUUUUCAGGUACAAUUCUGGAUUAUGUUGAUGGACUUGGCACGCGAAGGUCUCAGACAGUCUCGCAAACAAAUAAAUUAUCAGUUUUGUUUUCCGUUACGAUUUUGUUAUUUGGUUAACUUUGAACUGUAAGGCUUUAUAAUACUGUGGUACAGUUUCCAUUUUAGAUUUUCAUGCAUACGUUUAUUUUGGGUUUUAUAUUGAGUCUUACUGUAAAUUUUAUUGACUGAUUAUUAAAUGGUUUUAAACACUUUUGGUUCACUGAGAUGAGUUAUUUUGUAAAAUUUUCCUACGAUCACUUCGGUGAUCAAUGUAGCAUUCCGAAUUCGGUCUAGACUUUUAGGCCGAGUUUGAGGUGUUACAUUAGGUUUAUUUUUUAGGUUCUAAUUUGACUCGAAAAAUAGGUCUAAAAUUUUAACUAAACCCAGUUUAGAUAAAAAUAUUAAACCCAAGUCCAAACGUAUUAAACUUUUUAUAUUAUUAUUUAUAAAAAAACAAAUUUAAAAAAUAUAAUACAUCAAAUACACUAAAAAUAUUAAAAUAGAUGUUUCCUAAUAAAUUGAAAAUACAUUAAAAAAGUUUUUAUACUUAACAAGCAAAUGCCUUUAAAAUAGUAGCAAAAUUAACAAGCCCAUGAUUAGGUCUAAUGAUGAGUUCUUUUGUUAGUAAUGUUUAUUUUGGUAUUUGAGUUUUUUCUGUCUUAAUUUGGUACUUAAUUUUGACUUUAAUUUUUUUCCAAUUAAGCACUUAAGUUUGGCUUCAAUGUUCAAUUUGGUACCUAAUUUUUUUUGUCCAAAUUAAUUACCUAUAUAUUUUUUACCAAAGCAUGUGUGUCAAACAUUUAUUGGAUCAUAUGAUGACAUUUGGCUUAGGUAUCAAAUUGAAUAUCAAAUUCAAACCUAAGUACUAAAUUGAAACAAAAAACACAAAUACUAACUUAAGUAUUAAAGCUAAACUCAAGUAUCAAAUUGUAUAUUAAUCAUUGGUAAACAAAAUUUCAAGGAUUAGCAUCUACUAAGCUUUCAUUUUCCCUUUUGCAUGUUACAAUUGAUAUUUGUUUAACGCAUAAACUUGGUAUCUUUUUUCCCGUAAUGAUCCAUUUUCAACAAUUUUUGUACACCUAUAUUAAAAUCUGAAAUAAUUUGGUUAUCUUCAACAUACAUAAAGCUGUUAUAUUAAAGUUUAUUUAUAGUUGAGAUUUUUAAAGGAUUUUUAUAAGAUAUUUUUUACACAUUCUUUCCAUGACAUUAAGGAGUAGGGAAGAAAACGUGGUAGUGUUAAAAGGAUCAGUUCAUCUAAACAAGCGGAAAGUCAAAAUAAGAAACAAAUUAAGGAGGAGUAGGGGACUCACACAUCCAUAACAUAUGCAUAUGUUAAUAUUAAAAAUUUACACAACGCAAUUGUAAAUGGUGAGACUUGGACUUCGAUACUUAAAGACCCAAGAUAUCGCCUUAACCAAUAAUGUCAACAAGAUCUCAUUAACUUUUUAGGAAUUUUCUUAACUUCACAUAUAGGGAUUAAAAAAUUACGAUAUAACUCAAUAUAAUAUUAAAGAGUAAAAGUUAAUCAAAAUUUACAUAUAUCACUCAUUUAAUCAUAUGUGUACAGAUAAAAGGAAGCCACUCAUCCUCUUGCCAACCCUACGUGUAACAUAAUUCACUAUAAAUUCCACCUACAUAUACAUACAUACAUAAAUAUAAAAGAGAAUUUCAUGGUCUUGGACUAGAUUGGCUACAAAAUUUGACAAACGGCAUGUGUAGGAGGAUUAAAUUCGAUGAAUUGCAUGAGAGUUUCUCCUUUUUGAUAAUUUAGUACAUGAGAGAAUAAUGAUGAUUGUGGGGGGGGGGGGGUGCUCCAUCGAAAUAGCUGGAAUUUAUUUAUUUUAGUGAACUGGCAAAUGUAAUUUGUACGCCAAGUUAUAAGGUGAAAAAGGGAGAAAUCAUAUAGAUUUGGUUGGUAAUGGUAUGUUGAUGUUGGAACACCUGCGGUGCACCGCCACAAUUAGUAGGCCCCUAGCCCCGCUGUCACCCCAUCAUAUGUGCUUUUGGAUGGAUCCAACAUUUUCGUGUUCUUUCAUUCUUCAACAUCAUCAUUAUUAAUUAGUUACUCUUCAAUUUCUAUAUGUAAUUUGCUUUCUUUUCAUUCAUAGGUUUUCUGUUUUCUGUCUUUGAUUUUGUCUUGUGCACAACUGAUGUCCUCCAUUUUUUUCCCCUUUUGUAGAAUUGGGUUUGUCACUUUAAUAGUGCCCGAAAUUAUUUUAUGGAUUUUUUUCAUCAUAUCAUUUAUAAUCUAUUUUUAGUUAUUUAAUGAUAUUUUAGUAAUUUUUUUAUGUUAUUGACACAUAAUUUUACUAAUUUUUUUACCCAGAACCCUCAAUCUUGAGUUUAGAAUCUUGAACCCCGAACCUUGAACCCUAAACUCAAACAUUAAACUCCAAACCUAAACCUUAAAUCUUGAAACCCUCAAGGUUUAGGUUUGAGGUUUAAGUUCAAAUUCAAGUUUGUAGUUCAGGGUUCGAGGUUUGAAAUUUAAGGUUCGGGUUCAGGGUCAGAGUUCAACAUUCAGGAUUCUAGGUUUGGGGUUUAAGAUAAAAAAAAAUUACCAAAAUUAUAUGUCAAUGACAUGAAAAAAAAAUUACUGAAAUGUCAUUAAAUAAUUAGAAAGGGACCAUGGAUGAUGUGGUGGGAAUGGUCCAAAAAUAAUUUCUCAUUUGUAUGGGAUAUUAUUCAUUAUCUAUUAUAAUUUGAUAUCUCUAUUUUUAUAAUAUUAUUAGGGGAAAGGAUUGUAUGAAACAGUGACGCCAUGUCAUCUGUAUCCCUUUCCAAUAAUUUUAUGCCAUAUCAUUACUUUUAUCCUCAAUUUCAGGAUUUUAUCCUGAAAAAAAUCAAAUCCAAAUUAAAAUCCUGAAAUUCAGGAUAAGAAUAUUGAUGUGGCAUAAAACUAUUGGAAAGGGAUACAGAUGACGUGGCGUCACUGUUUCAUACAAUCCUUUCUCUGUCCAAAUUUAUAACAAUGUUGAUUGCUUCACUAAAAUGAGAAGGUCCAAAAGAGUUAGAAGAUGUUAUUGAGAUUAAUAAAGGAGUAAUUUAUUUCGAGAUAGAUUAAUAUAAUUUAUUUGUGUUUUUUAUUUAAAAAAAAAAGUAAAAGGACGUAGUAAAGGAAUUUUCAUGCAUCAAUAAUUUAUUAUUUAAACUAUGAAAUUUCAAAAAAGAAGAAAUUCAUGUUGAAAUUGAUACUAUCAAGCAAUUUAAAAGUGUAAAAAUUUCAGUAUCAGCUGGAUAUUUAAUGUCAAAUAAACUAAAGAAAUGAGAAACACAAGCCAAUUGUCCACAAUGAUUAACUUGUUCCUAAAAAGAAAGUUGUACAUAGACUUUGCUUAUAAAUCAAUCCAAUUUUUUUUUAUAUAAAAGGAAACAUAUUACAUACUUAUAUUGAGUUAUUUGUACCACAACCCACUUAAAUUAUGAUUUUAAUUUUCGAUUGAGUCUUAGUUCAAUUGAUAUUGGCAUUAUUAUCUGUGGAGGAGUGGAUUCAAGUGCGCUGAAACGCAUUAUCCUUCUAUUUAAAUGUUGGGAAGGAACUAUAGAUUCGAAAGCAGAUAUGAUAAGAACCUAUAAUAAAAUUAAUGUAAUGCCUCCUUUUUCCUUUAAAUCCUACUUAAAACACACUUACUUAUUAUUUGCUAAAAUAUUGACAAAUCUAUAAUUUGAAUUCGAACAUUUAUAAUUCAAUCUUGGUCCCUUUAAUACAAAAAAUGUUGGCUUCACCCUUGAUCAAUUUAGUCAUCAAGUUUUUUUUUUUUAACAUAAAUUUCAAUAUAGAUUCUUAUCAUAUUAGCUCUUUUUGAUACAAUGCUUAUAACUAUCCAUAGCCCUUCCCCAAUCAUUAAAUAGUAGGAUAAUACACUUUAACGUAUUCGAAUCCACAUCCUCUUCUACUGACAACAAUGUCAAUCAAUACAAUUUUAAAUACGAGUGUACUACUUAGAUAAUCAUAUCCAAGGUACACAUACUUUUAAAAUUUGAUCCACACACUUUAAAUAUACCCCACCUCUGAUCUAAUCUAGCAUUUAUCACCUAAGCUGACGGUUAGAGGAACAAAAGAACUUGAUUGAUAUAAUAUCAAUAUUUUAUAGACUCAAUCGUACCAUAAUUAUGGACGUUUUCGCUGAGUUAACUCUAUAUCUAAAUAAGUCAUGGUAAACAUUCAAUAUUAAAAAAGAUAAAGGGAAAGUAUAAUAACCCAAAACACCAAAUUUUGGUUGGUUUAAUUUGCAGCUUUAACCAAUGCUUUUGCAUGAUCCAUCAAUUAGUGAGGAUUUUGAUCUUAAUUGGAGGGUCCCAUUCGGUUAUUAAGCUCUUUUUCCACCCUCAUGAUUGCCAUAACAUGGGCCCUUACCGUUUUACUUUGGAUACCCUUUUAUCUUUGCUUUGCUUUGCUUUGAUUUAAGGUUUUAUACAUAAAUGGUCACUUAAACUAUACCUCAAUUUUUAGAUUUGUCCUUAAAGUUUUUUUUUUAUCAAGAGUGGCCCCCACACUAUCAAAUUUAUCUCAUUUUACCCAAAAAGCGUACAAUAUCCAAUAAAAAUAUUUAAAAUGUGACGCGUGUCACAUUCUUAUUGGUUAAUAUCAUUUUUUGAAUAAACAAAAAUAAAAUUAACAGUUUAGCGAUCACUUUGACCAAAUAAAAAAGUUUUAAGGACUACUUUAGGAAUUUAGAUAUAACUUAAGAGUUAUUUUAUUAAUAAAGCUUUGAUUUAUUCAUCAAUUAACACUGAAAGAGUUUUCCUUAAUUUACUCAAAUGGUCUUUUUGUUUGUAUCACCUAACAUUUUGAAGAACAUCCUUUCUCUGUGUACCUCAUACAAUUCGUUAAUACGAAAAUUUUAUGAUUUUUUUAAAAAUAAAUUUAAUUGUCACGUUGCAGGUUACAAAUACUUUUAAAUAAGGGCUUUUUUCAUACAAGAAUACCAAUUAAAAAAUAUCUUCAAAGGUAUAUCAGUUAUACUCAGAUCAAAAUGUUUAAACUUAAUUUAUCUAAUUUCUUCGGCAGGGACCUAACCCAAAAUUGGUAAAAUUAAAAUUAGAUCUUUAUAAUUUUGAAGCAUUAAAAUUGAAUUUUUUUUAAAUUGUAAAAUUAUAAAUUUAGCCCCUAAAAAAAUUAUAAUUCAACUUCAGCCUCUAAAAUUUUUUCCUCUAACUUCAUCUCCCCAUAAUUCAAUAUAUUUAAAAAAAUUUGUGACUGACAUUACCAACAAAAAAUAUAUUUAUAAUUAGUAUUUAAUAUACAAUUAAUGAAAUGUUUUAAUUCUAUAAGCAAUGUUCAAAAUUUUCAUAUAUCUCAAUUUUUAAUAUUUUUUUUAUUAAAUCAUGAAUGAAAUAUAUAUUACCUUUCAGAUUUUACUUGUAGAGUCUAAUAACUAUAUGACGCAUUAAAUCAUUAUACAUAUAUAAGGUCAAGUGGUCCAUAGGUAGCUUAGAGUACAAGGGAUUAAGUUGAGGGUCUCUUAUCAUUUUCCCCAAAUGUGAAGUGAUGUUAACUGCUUAGCUUUCUCCUCUUGCCCCAUUCAUUUUCCUUCCUUUCCACAAUAUAUAUUGUAUAAGUAUUUAUGGGUAAUCGAUUGAGUAUUUACUCGAUUAAUAUGAGUAUUAAUGUCAAUAGAGGAGGACGUAGAUUUGGCGCAUUAUUCUUCUAAUCAUGGGUUGAGAGGCUAUGAGUAGUUUUAAAUAUUAUGUCCAAAAAAAACAGAUAUGAUUAGAACCUAUAAUAAGAUUAUUUAAAAAAAUAUUUAUGGGUAAUCAGUUUAUACAAUUUCGAUUAAAUGUAUAAAUCCAAUCAUUAAUCAUUAAAUUGUUUUACUUUAUGCCAUAGUAUUGUUUUAACUGCAUAAGCAUGUGGGUUAAUGAAAACUACUUAUAGUAUCUCAAUUAAAUGUAAUCAACAACCUCAACUCAUAUCUCCCAUCUCUCUCACUCUCAAUUAUAUAACCUAUUAAUAAUUAACAUUAAUAACCCACUUUCAAGUAGAUCUCAGGCUACCUGCCAUGCCAAGCCUAAAGCUUAUAAGAUGCUUGAAAAGGUUUGCACAAAUAUACAAGAAUAAGUAGGAUAAUGGUUUGGGCAAAAAUUAAGCUUAAUUAUUUAAAUUAUAGAUUAAAUUUAUCGAUAAAUCAUGUUAAGCGUAAUGAUAAGAUAUAUUAUACUCUUAAGAAAAGAAUGUAGAUUCAAAUACUAGAAACGAUAUUGUUAGGAAAAGUAAUCACAAAUCUCAAACAUGAAUCAUAAAAUAAACAUAUAAAAUACUAAAAAAAAUCGAAUUUAAACUCAUUUAAAAUUGUUGAAACAUGGAUAAUUUAACUCAAUAUUGCAACAGGAAUUUCGAUAUAGUUUCUAUAAAAUUUAGUGUUACAAUAUGAUUUCCCAUAGAAGUGUGAUAAAAUCAAUAAUGUUGACUUGUAUUAUUGCAUUAAGUAGUGCAUGAAAUGUAGGAUUCUAUUGUAAAAGAGAAUUAGAUAAAAUUGUAUAAAGUGCAUACUAAAAACUGUUUUGGAGGCUUUAAAGAAUUCUAUUCGCUUAAAAGGUAAGAGUCUACUUCAUCAGCUAAGGUUUACAAUGUAGGGUAAGUGUUCAAUCGAAUUAAGUGAAAAAAUUUUGAGUUUAUCGAGUUGAUGAGUCCUAUUUUAUCAUACUAACUUGAUUUGAAAUUUUCUCGAAUCGAGUCGAGUAAAAUGAAAUUCAAGCCAAAUCAAAUCAAGUGAAAUUAUUUGAGUUAAAUUAAAAAAUUAAACAUGUCAAAUUAAAAUCUUGUUAUAGUAUAACUAAUUUUAUGUUAGAGCACAUAAAUUUGAAAUCACAUAUAUUUGAAAACUUUUUCAAAGUAAAAUAAGAAAAAAAAUAAUUUAAUAUAAUAAACUUAAAUUAUUAAUUAACUUUUAUUUAAGUCCCCAAAAUUAUUAUUUUAAAAAAAAUUAAAUUUUUAACUUUCUUUAUAUACUUUAUAAUUUUUUUAAAAAAAUAUAAAAUUUGGAAUUUUUAUAAAUAUUUUGAAUUUUAAAAAUUAUUAUGAAAAUUUUGAAAUUUAUUUUGUAUUUUUUGUUGAAAGAGAUCAAUUUGCUUUUUUUUUUAAAAUUAAUAGGGACCAAAAGGGGUAUUUAUACCAAUCUAUUAUUCGAGUUAUUCGAAUUGUAAAAUUCAACUUGACUUGAACUCAGAACUCGAAUUACUUAUUCGAUUUAAUUCGAAAAAAUUGAAUAAGAUUCAAUUAACUUAGAAUUCGAUUUUUAUUUUAUUUUUUUGAUCAAAUCGAGUUUUGUUCACCCCUAAUAACUUGUUAGCAACUUAUGCAAGAAUUUUUUAAUUUUAAAAUAAAAGCUAAUAAGAUUAUUUUAUCUUGAUAUUAAAUGCUAUUUAUACAACAUAUAAAAGAUGGUGGAUACACACAGUUGGGGUAGACUUUUUGAGUGUUUCAUUUUUCGGGUUGAGGGAAUAUUUUGCAAGGUAAAUACACCUUGAUACCCUAGGUAUUAUUUGGAGAAUUUUAUUCACUUGUAUGCAAAGAUGUUUGCAAUAUGUGAUAAUAUUUUGGGAGAUUGGAUGCAAACAAUUGCAUACUAGUGAAACUACUUUUUAUCUACAUUUUGCAAGAUAGAUACAUUAUAAUUAGAGGUGUCCAUAAGUCGGAUUGGAUCCAAUCAAAAUUUUAUACCCAUUUGUCAGGCUAAAAAUAUUAAAAUUCGAGUCCCAUCUGGCCCGUUCGUAUUAAUUUUUUUAUAUAAUUUUUUAAAAUAUAUAUAAUACAUCAACAAUACUAAAAACAUUAAAAUAAAUGUUAAAAACAUUAAAAUAAAUGUUCCCCAACAAAUUGAAAAUAAAUUUACAAAUUGAUUAAUAAAUUUUAAAAAAAUAUGUAUACUUAAAUAACACUAAGAUAUGUAUAACUUAACAAGCAAAUACCUCUAGAAUAGUAACAAAAUUAAAAAUAAAACAACAGUAAUACAAUAUCCAAAUAAUAACAAUAAAAUAGUAGCAAUAUAAUUGUGAAAUGGUAGCAAAAUAAUGAAAAAGAAGAAGAAAAAAAAGAAAAAAAUUACAAUUCUUUUAUUUUGCAUAUUCGGGUCGGCUAUUUUCUAAACGGACCUUAUUUUUCAGCCAAAAAAGUCUUACCUGAGGCUCAACCCGUUUUCUAAACAAGCCUUAUUUUUUUGCCUAAACACAUUUUUCGGGCCUAUAUUUUUAUCCAAACCCUCCCACUUUUCAGGUCGGGCCACAUGUACAGGUUUAACCAUGAUAUAUUAGGUAUUAUUAUAAACUACUAAAUACUAAAUAAAAAAUAACAUUUAAAAUUAAAAAAAUGAAAAGAAAAAAAAACUUAAAUGAAUAUAUACAAUGUAACAAGGUACAUAAACCUACAUUGUGACAAGUGUCGCAACUUUAUUUUUUUAUUUAAUUUCUAUAUUGUUUAUCUAUUAAAUAAAAUUAAAAUAAUUUAAACACAAUUUUAUCUUAAUGUAUUACAAAAUUUAAUUAAAAUAAAUGAAAAUUGUUAUUUGGAAUAUAUGGAUUUUAAAAAUAAUAAUAAUUUUCAUUUAAAUAAAUUUUACAAAUAAUAUAUAAUGCUGAUUAUAUAGUUUUAAAUAAUAUUUUAAUAUAUGAAUUGUUAUCUACAUAUUUAUUUAAAUAUAUUACAAGAAUUAAAACUAUUUAAUAACAUAUUCAUCAUAAAAUAAAACGAGAAUUAUAAAUUAUUAUUAUUAUUAUUUUAAAAUAUUUAUUUAAAUAAAACUAUAUGAGCAUAGGUUGUAACAUUCUACAUAUUUAUAUAGGUAAACCAUCAUGAUAAAAACUAUUAUCAUAAAAUUUUGCACUUUUUAUUAUAUGAUAUGUAUAAAAUAGUUCAAUUAGAUAUGAUUAAUAAUAAUAUUUAUGCUCAUAAAAUUAUCAAAUUAUAUAUUACAAUGUAUUUAUAAUGGCUCAAAUAUUAAAUAAUGGUUUACGGGUUGUAAUAUAUAAUAGUUCAAACAUAUUAUAAAUUUGAAAUAUAAUAUAUAUUAUAUUGAAUUAUUAUUAAUAGUAGAUAAUACUGUUAUAAUAAUUUAUAGUAGUAAAAGUAAAGGGUGAGCUAAC